This 871-nucleotide ribosomal RNA is filed under the name Agaricus sp. Its description in RNAcentral is "partial large subunit ribosomal RNA". It matches the Rfam family "Eukaryotic large subunit ribosomal RNA", at positions 72 to 928 of the family's 3401-position model. The record is from RNAcentral. Lineage: Eukaryota; Fungi; Basidiomycota; Agaricomycetes; Agaricales; Agaricaceae.
GGAUUCCCCCUAGUAACUGCGAGUGAAGCGGGAAAAGCUCAAAUUUAAAAUCUGGCGGUCUUUGGCCGUCCGAGUUGUAAUCUAGAGAAGUAAUGCCCGUGCUGGACCGUGUAUAAGUCUCCUGGGAUGGGGCGUCAUAGAGGGUGAGAAUCCCGUCUUUGACACGGACUACCAGUGCAUUGUGGUAUGCUCUCAAAGAGUCGAGUUGUUUGGGAAUGCAGCUCAAAAUGGGUGGUAAAUUCCAUCUAAAGCUAAAUAUUGGCGAGAGACCGAUAGCGAACAAGUACCGUGAGGGAAAGAUGAAAAGAACUUUGGAAAGAGAGUUAAACAGUACGUGAAAUUGCUGAAAGGGAAACGCUUGAAGUCAGUCGCGUUGGCCAGGGAUCAGCCUUGCUUUUGCAUGGUGUACUUUCUGGUUGACGGGUCAGCAUCAAUUUUGACCGCUGGAAAAGGGCCUGGGGAAUGUGGCAGCUUCGGCUGUGUUAUAGCCCCUGGUCGCAUACAGUGGUUGGGAUUGAGGAACUCAGCACGCCGCAAGGCCGGGUUUCGACCACGUUCGUGCUUAGGAUGCUGGCAUAAUGGCUUUAAGCGACCCGUCUUGAAACACGGACCAAGGAGUCUAACAUGCCUGCGAGUAUUUGGGUGGAAAACCCGAGUGCGCAAUGAAAGUGAAAGUUGAGAUCCCUGUCGUGGGGAGCAUCGACGCCCGGACCAGAACUUUUGGGACGGAUCCGCGGUGGAGCAUGUAUGUUGGGACCCGAAAGAUGGUGAACUAUGCCUGAAUAGGGUGAAGCCAGAGGAAACUCUGGUGGAGGCUCGUAGCGAUUCUGACGUGCAAAUCGAUCGUCAAAUUUGGGUAUAGGGGGCGAAA